This 996-nucleotide ribosomal RNA is filed under the name Haemophilus influenzae 7P49H1. RNAcentral's name for it is "partial 16S ribosomal RNA". It matches the Rfam family "Bacterial small subunit ribosomal RNA". Lineage: Bacteria; Pseudomonadati; Pseudomonadota; Gammaproteobacteria; Pasteurellales; Pasteurellaceae. The record is from RNAcentral.
ACUUGAAUUGAAGAGUUUGAUCAUGGCUCAGAUUGAACGCUGGCGGCAGGCUUAACACAUGCAAGUCGAACGGUAGCAGGAGAAAGCUUGCUUUCUUGCUGACGAGUGGCGGACGGGUGAGUAAUGCUUGGGAAUCUGGCCUAUGGAGGGGGAUAACGACGGGAAACUGUCGCUAAUACCGCGUAUUAUCGGAAGAUGAAAGUGCGGGACUGAGAGGCCGCAUGCCAUAGGAUGAGCCCAAGUGGGAUUAGGUAGUUGGUGGGGUAAAGGCCUACCAAGCCUGCGAUCUCUAGCUGGUCUGAGAGGAUGACCAGCCACACUGGAACUGAGACACGGUCCAGACUCCUACGGGAGGCAGCAGUGGGGAAUAUUGCGCAAUGGGGGGAACCCUGACGCAGCCAUGCCGCGUGAAUGAAGAAGGCCUUAGGGUUGUAAAGUUCUUUCGGUAUUGAGGAAGGUUGAUGUGUUAAUAGCACAUCAAAUUGGACGUUAAAUACAGAAAAAACACCCGGCUAACUCCGUGCCAACAGCCCGCGGUAAUACCGAAGGGGGCGAGCGGUAAUCGGAAUAACUGGGGCGUAAAGGGCACGCCAAGCGGUUAUUUAAAUGAGGUGUGAAAAGCCCGGGGCUAAACCGGGGAAUUGCCUUUCAAACUGGGAAACUCGAAUAUUUUGGGGAGGGGUGAAUUCCCCGGGUACGGUUAAAUGCGUAAAAAUGGGAAGAAAACCAAAGGCAAAAGGCACCCCUUGGAAUUUUACUGAACCCCUGUUGGAAAAAGGUGGGGAGAAAAAAGAUUAAAUAUCCCGGAUAAUCCACCGCGUAAACCCUGUACUAUGGGGGGGUGGGGGGUUUUUACUUGGCGCCCCAGAAAUAUGGGUAAAAAUACACACCGACCUGGAAGAAAAACGCAGCCACAGAAGAAAAAUUAAUAAGAAAAUUUAUAGAGGGGGCACCCCUCCUAAGUUGAGGGGAGGGAGAGGGGGGGGGGGGUUAUUU